RNAcentral lists this ribosomal RNA (762 nucleotides) under uncultured organism. RNAcentral describes it as "bacterial SSU rRNA". It matches the Rfam family "Bacterial small subunit ribosomal RNA", at positions 690 to 1462 of the family's 1533-position model. The record is from RNAcentral.
GUAGAUAUCGGGAGGAACACCAGUGGCGAAGGCGGCAUCGUGGGCUGCUCCUGACGCUGAAGGCGAAAGUUAGGGGAGUGAACGGGAUUAGAAACCCCUGUAGUCCUAGCCGUAAACGAUGGUUUCUAGGUGUGGUAGGUGUAGAUUCCAGUCGUGCCGCAGUUAACGCGUUAAGCAUCCCGCAUGGGGAGUACGGCCGCAAGGCUAAAAUUCAAACGAAUUGACGGGGGCCCGCACAAGCAGCGGAGCGUGUGGUUUAAUUCGAUGGUACACGAAGAACCUUACCUGGGCUUGACAUACAGGUAGUAGUGAAGUGAAAGCGGAUCGAUCUUUCGGGGAGCCUUUACAGCUGUUGCAUGGCUGUUGUCAUCUCGUGCCGUGAGGUGUCGGGUUAAGUCCCGUAACGAGCGCAACCCUUGCUUUUAGUUAUACGUGUAUAAGAGGAUUGCCGGCGGUUAGCCGGAGGAAGGUGGGGAUGACGUCAAGUCUGCAUGUCCUUUAUGUCCAGGGCUACACACCCGUUACAAUGGCCGGUACAAUGGGUAGCUAAACCGUGAGGUGGAGCCAAUCCUGUAAAGCCGGUCUCAGUUCGAAUUGCAGGCUGCAACUCGCCUGCAUGAAGUCGGAGUUGCUUGUAAUCGCAGGUCAGCAAUACUGCGGUGAAUACGUUCCCGGGCCUUGUACACACCGCCCGUCACGUCAUGGAAGCUGGCAACACCUGAAGCCGGUGAGCUAGCCCGAAAGGGGGGCAACUGUCGAAGG